This 253-nucleotide ribosomal RNA is filed under the name uncultured bacterium. RNAcentral's name for it is "partial 16S ribosomal RNA". It matches the Rfam family "Bacterial small subunit ribosomal RNA", at positions 524 to 776 of the family's 1533-position model. The record is from RNAcentral.
GACAGAGGGUGCAAACGUUGCUCGGAAUUACUGGGCGUAAAGCGCGCGUAGGCGGCUUUGUAAGUUAGAGGUGAAAGCCCGGGGCUCAACCCCGGAAUUGCCUUUAAGACUGCAUCGCUUGAAUCCGGGAGAGGUGAGUGGAAUUCCGAGUGUAGAGGUGAAAUUCGUAGAUAUUCGGAAGAACACCAGUGGCGAAGGCGGCUCACUGGACCGGCAUUGACGCUGAGGUGCGAAAGCGUGGGGAGCAAACAGG